Molecule: transfer RNA, 68 nt
Filed under: Marmota monax (woodchuck)
Lineage: Eukaryota; Metazoa; Chordata; Mammalia; Rodentia; Sciuridae
Description: tRNA.Ala
Rfam family: tRNA (bases 5-65)
About the family: Transfer RNA (tRNA) molecules are approximately 80 nucleotides in length.
Source: RNAcentral
GGAUUGUGGCUCAGUGGCAGAGCACUUGCCUAGCAUGCUUGAGGCCCUGGGUUCGAUCCUCUGCACCA